AUUGAACGCUGGCGGCAUGCUUUACACAUGCAAGUCGAACGGUAACAGGCCGCAAGGUGCUGACGAGUGGCGAACGGGUGAGUAAUGCAUCGGAACGUGCCCAAUCGUGGGGGAUAACGCAGCGAAAGCUGCGCUAAUACCGCAUACGAUCUAAGGAUGAAAGCGGGGGAUCGCAAGACCUCGCGCGAUUGGAGCGGCCGAUAUCAGAUUAGGUAGUUGGUGGGGUAAAGGCUCACCAAGCCAACGAUCUGUAGCUGGUCUGAGAGGACGACCAGCCACACUGGAACUGAGACACGGUCCAGACUCCUACGGGAGGCAGCAGUGGGGAAUUUUGGGACAAUGGACGCAAGUCUGAUCCAGCCAUUCCGCGUGCAGGAUGAAGGCCCUCGGGUUGUAAACUGCUUUUGUACGGAACGAAAAGGUCUACGUCUUAAUACGGGGGGCUCAUGACGGUACCGUAAGAAUAAGCACCGGCUAACUACGUGCCAG
RNAcentral lists this ribosomal RNA (489 nucleotides) under uncultured bacterium. RNAcentral's name for it is "bacterial SSU rRNA". It matches the Rfam family "Bacterial small subunit ribosomal RNA", at positions 30 to 511 of the family's 1533-position model. The record is from RNAcentral.